Molecule: non-coding RNA, 1423 nt
Organism: Phascolarctos cinereus (koala)
Lineage: Eukaryota; Metazoa; Chordata; Mammalia; Diprotodontia; Phascolarctidae
Source: RefSeq, a predicted model, not a curated record
UUGAACUCAGGUCCUCCUGAAUCUAGGGCCAGUGCUCUAUCCACUGCGCUACCUACCUGCUCCCAACCUUUAAAUAUUUCUAAAGAUAUUCUCCUACGAUGGAUUCCAUGAAUUAGCUUUCACCAUCCUUCAAAACUGCCUGACCGAUGGAUAGAUAUCUUUUCCCUCUAUGACAGAGGAAAUUUGGGUAUCGGCACAACAAACUUCUGUUUUGGUCAUUGUUUAACAGACCAAUAAACAUUCCUUAAAUGCCUCCUCCAUGCAAGACAGUGUAUAAGGUGAUGGCUAAAACCAACCUAGUCUCUGCCAUCCACAAACUUGUAACCUAGCAGGAGGAGGAUGCUAAAAUGUUGUAUCCCCCUAUAGAAUGUAAGCUCCUUGAGGGCAAGCUCUAUUUCAUUUUGUCUUUGUGUCCUCAGUGCCAAGCCCAGUCUGUGUUGUAUAGCUGGCUCUUUAAUAAAUGCCUGUGGUUAGGCUGAGGCUCUUGGUCUCCCUAUGUAUUUAAUGGGUGCAUAUUAAAUGAUUUAGUCAGGACCAAGUCUGUCCCAGAAGGGCUGCAUUGUACCAACUUUAUAAAUAGGUGCAAAAAAUGUCAUUGAACCCCUUCCAUUUUUAUCCUCACAGAGGAUUGCCACCAGCCCUUCCCCCGUUUACCAGUCUAGAAUGGUGCAUAGGAACUUCAGGAGGACAGUCCCAGGACCAGCCAUAUAAUUUUUAAAUGUAAAAAAGAAAUAUUAACAAACAUCUCUCUUGCAACACCCUGCAUGUUGUGUCUUAAGUGGCUACCUAUCCUACCUAGCUCCAGCUCUUUAUGAAUUCAUAGGAUCAUAGAUUAUAGAGCUGAAGUGACCUUAGGAGUCAUUAAGUCCAACUCCCUUAUUUUUCAGAUGAAGAAACUAAGGCCAGAUAGGACAAGUGACUUGCCCAAAGUCACACAGCUGGACACACGGAAUACAGCAUUAACUGGACUGCCAUGCAUAAUGAUGAAGUCAAACAUCUAAAGAAUUCCCACAAAUUCUCCUUCAAAUAUAAAGUCCAUUUACUACAAACAGAAAAUAAACUGUGACUCUAAUUCAAUUCAGCAAACAUUUAUUAAGCUCCUACUAUGUGCAGAGCACUGGUUAAACUACUUUAAUCUUAAUAGUUUAUAAGGAAUCUCUGUGUGUGUACAGGUAUGUGUGUGUAUCUUUCAAAUACAUUAAAACCAGUGAUCAAUGUUACUGAGUCACUUUCAAAUAAAUGAAAUUAAUACUCAAAAUUUGGACAUACAUUUCAAUCUGGACUGAAAUAUUGGUUUAAAAAAUAAGAAACCCCUUUAAAAGGAAAUAGUGAACUCAUAAAAUUUCAUUCUUAAAAUACAUAUUUUAGACCAUGAGAAUGCAAAUAUAAAUAUCUGACAUGUUUGAAUUAGGGAAAAAAAACC